Molecule: ribosomal RNA, 253 nt
Filed under: uncultured bacterium
Lineage: Bacteria
Description: partial 16S ribosomal RNA
Rfam family: Bacterial small subunit ribosomal RNA
Source: RNAcentral
UACGUAGGGUGCAAGCGUUGUCCGGAAUUACUGGGCGUAAAGCGUGCGCAGGCGGUUCUCCAAGUCCGUUGUGAAAGCCCCGGGCUCAACCUGGGAAUGGCAGUGGAAACUAGGGGACUGGAAUCUGGCAGAGGGGGAUGGAAUUCCGCGUGUAGCAGUGAAAUGCGUAGAUAUGCGGAGGAACACCGAUGGCGAAGGCAAUCCCCUGGGCCUGCACUGACGCUCAUGCACGAAAGCGUGGGGAGCAAACAGG